GGAUGAGUCACAAGAUGCGACCCCCUCCAUAGCCCACCCGAAAUUGGAGGAGGGCAACGAAGAGCUGCCGAGAAUCCGAGUGGGGGAGGGAAGAGAUGGAGUGGCGAACAAGACAUGGGAUUCCAACAGGAGCAGUAGAGCUGGUAGUGUGAACACCAGGGAAGCUCUCCUGAAAUGCAGGGGGGCUGGUGUGUGGCUUCUCCUGACUUCUCCAUCCCUGGCCCUGCAAUCAAGCAUGGGAGCCAGGAGUCCCAGAAGCCCUAUAGUGCCGUGGGGUAAGUGCCCAGACUCUGGAACCAGGCUGACUGGGUUUGCAUCCCACCUCUACCACUUACCAGCUGUGUGACUACAGCGCUUGGCUUUGCUCUCCUGUGUGGACUUCAUUCUUGGGAUCUACAUGAAAGCAAGAUAUCUGCCAGCAUCUCUAGGCCAACAUACUCUGUGGUCGGAGUCCCACAGAAAAGAAGAGAGCUUCUCUUCCCCAGUGCAGCCAGUCAGCAUCCUGGCUGGUUCUCAUUGGCCUGGUUUGGGACCCCUGCUAAGCUCGGAAUCAGUCGCUGAAGACAGGGGGACACAGUGCUCUGACUGGCUAAGGCUGAGUCACUUGCCUACCCCCAGAACUGGAAGUUUCCUAGACUGUAAACAGGGAUAGUAAGAAGAACUACUCGUGUGAGGAUUGAACAAGGAUAAAGGGCUUAGCAGAUGCGUGGCACAA
RNAcentral lists this long non-coding RNA (715 nucleotides) under Equus asinus (donkey). RNAcentral describes it as "lncRNA (ENSEASG00005034611.1)". Lineage: Eukaryota; Metazoa; Chordata; Mammalia; Perissodactyla; Equidae. The record is from RNAcentral.